GCUCCCUCAAGCCGUUUUCAAUCAGGUGGAGACUGCUCUGCUCAUCCCAGAGGCCUCAGUUAUGGGUACCAUGUUUCAGCUCAGAGAAGUAGAGAGCUGGAAAGCGUAUUGCUUCCAUUUUUACAAAAAAGAAAAAGCAUGUGGAUAAACUGCAAACUAACUGCUUUUGUGAACUCAUCCAAAACUAAGGUCACAGGGUAAAUAACUAAUACAAAACCUGAAGGGAGAUAGAGACCCACAAGGUGAAAAAAGAGCUGAGCAUUUGCUUAAAUCAAACAGUCAAUGGAUGUCAAAUGCCACUUAAGCUGGGAAAAUGGUAAACUACUAAUAAACAGAAAGGGUGAGUAUAGGCUAGGGGGAGAGCAUGAAGCCCGGGGGACCACAGACUUAGGAGGUCUCACGCCCUCUUUUCCUCAAGGAAUCCAAUAAGCACAAACAAUAAAGAUUGAAGGGAGUCCCGAGAAAGCUCCCUCACAGCUCCAGCCAGGAGAGAGACUGGCGGCUACUGUCUACAUUAGACCCAUCUGCCUUUUGUCCACCAUAGAACAAAAGCCACAAGCUAUACGGGAAAAGACAUCAGCGAGCUGACAGAAAUACACUGCAGCUAGGGGACGCCAACAGAGGGGACAAAAAAGCUAUACCAAGGGGAGGAGAGUCACAAUCUGUACUGGGCCCAGCACGACACCAGAAGGAGGGCAGGAAUCCUGGUGAAGGUCACAGCCCCGAGACCCGAGUCACACUGUCUGAGACAGGUUUAAUCACUUCAGUCAACGCUGCCUCCUCCAGUACACACCACCAUCAUGAUGACAAACUCAAGGAACGUGACAGUGAAAUACAGCUGGGAGAGCUCCAAGAGACAGUUUUUGGGGAAAAGCACAAAACAAAGACCCAAAGCUAAACAGAGAGACAAAAAGACGGACCACUAGAGAAACGCGUACCUGCUUAUCCACUGCGGGUAAACAGAGCAAGAGUAAAUUUUAAAUCCACUCUUUCUAGAUUAAUACAAAACCUCAUAUUAAAGAUCUAACAGAAUGAAAGACAUGCCCAUGUCCAAUUAUUAAAGUAAUUAUUAAAAAAAUAGUGCAUAUCGCCUCUUCUCUAUGAUAUGUCCAAGUUAUAAAUAUAUAUGUAUAUAAAAGGCAACACAUGACACGCAGCUGCAGAGACAAAGCAAAGAGUCCUCAUCUUCAAGGCAGCCGGGAUCAGGGCAGGCAUCACCUGCAGAGGAACAAGGAUAAAAAUCACAGCAGACGUCUCUUCAGAAACCAGGUAAUCAGGAAGGCAGUAAUCUAAAAGUGACUUACCUUGCUUACUCACUUACUUUAAAAUCUUUGAUUCUAUAUGUAAUCUCAUGUCUUUCCCAAAAGGUACAUUAGCUAUAGUGGAACUCAGAAUAAACUUAUAGCCUGGGUAAAAGUUAAAAUAUCAACCAGGUGAUAGGAAUGUGGAUUUUCUGCUCCUAAGAUACUUGGAGAUGAUCUUCAAUUAUGAGACAUUAAUCAGAAACAAAUUAUGCUUCCUACUGGAGAACUGAACACUUUUCAAUUACCUUUGGGUCUGGAGGUAGUUCCGUUUCUCCACUUGUAGAAACCAAUCAAAGCUGUAGUAUCAUUAAGGGUCUUAUUUCACAGACAAGUGAUUGUCCCAGACAAUUAAGCACCUGCAAUACGCUGUCUGCAAAGAACUUGACUGCCAAAUGUCUUCACCAUGCAAACGUGAUGGAAAGUGUAAAGCUGAGCAUCUUCUCUGCAGGGAAACAAUUUCCAAUCUAGUUUGUAGAUCUUAAUGGCCUUUGAUUUCAGUUGAGAUUUUUACUUGUUAAAUGGAAUAAAGAAUUGACAGCCAUUUUCGUAAAUGUUCAGUGUCAUUUUUAAAAAGAAAAAUAUCAAAUUUAGCUUUUAUUCCAGGGGACAGUUUUCUAAGUUGGUGAAUUUUCCUAGAAAAUUUGAAAACUAUAAAAAAGUCUUCUAUGAUUUGAAUUUGGCAAAUAUAUGGACUUUUUAAUAUUUUGAAUGAUGCUUUGAAAUAAAACAAAGAUGUAAUUGUAUUCCUACCUUGUGAAAUACUGUAAUUCUUUUUAUAUAAUAGGCAUUGUUGAAAAUUGAAAAACAGAAGUAAAGGAUCAAUCUAGUGGAUAAUUGUCCACAUAAUUCUAAAUAUUUCAUUUCAUAAAAAUUUGAGUGUGCAGGUUCAAUUUUUCGGAUUUAUCUCAUAACUGACUUGGACAUACAGAGACAUAUAUCCCUUACUACCUUUUUUUGUCUCG
Molecule: long non-coding RNA, 2266 nt
Filed under: Equus caballus (horse)
Lineage: Eukaryota; Metazoa; Chordata; Mammalia; Perissodactyla; Equidae
Description: lncRNA (ENSECAG00000032838.3)
Source: RNAcentral